UGGUUGAUCUGCCAGAGGCUACUGCUAUCGGGGUCCGACUAAGCCAUGCGAGUUGAGAGGGGUAAGCCCUCGGCAUAUUGCUCAGUAACACGCGGAUAACCUGCCCUUGGGUUCGGGAUAACCCCGGGAAAACUGGGACUAAUACCGGAUAGAUCAAAGAAACUGGAAUGUUCUCUGGUUAAAAACUCCGGUGCCCAAGGAUGGGUCUGCGGCCUAUCAGGUAGUAGUGGGUGUAACGUACCUACUAGCCUACGACGGGUAAGGGUUGUGAGAGCAAGAGCCCUGAGAUGGAUUCUGAGACAUGAAUCCAGGCCCUACGGGGUGCAGCAGGCGCGAAAACUUUACACUGCGGGAAACCGCGAUAAGGGGACCCCGAGUGCCAGCACCUAGUGCUGGCUGUCCAGCUGUCCAAAUAACAGUUGUUAGCAAGGGCCGGGCAAGACCGGUGCCAGCCGCCGCGGUAACACCGGCGGCCCGAGUGGUAGCCGUUAUUAUUGGGUUUAAAGGGUCCGUAGCCGGCCUAUUAAGUCUCUUGGGAAAUCUGGCGACUCAAUCGUCAGUCGUCCAAGAGAUACUGGUAGGCUUGGGACCGGGAGAGGUGGGAGGUACUCCAGGGGUAGGGGUGAAAUCUCGUAAUCCUUGGGGGACCACCGAUGGCGAAGGCAUCCCACCAGAACGGGUCCGACGGUGAGGGACGAAAGCUGGGGGCACGAACCGGAUUAGAUACCCGGGUAGUCCCAGCCGUAAACGAUGCUCGCUAGGUGUCAGGUGCGGUGCGACCGCAUCUGGUGCCGCAGUGAAAACUUGAAGCGAGUCACCUGGGAAGUACGGUCGCAAGGCUGAAACUUAAAGGAAUUGGCGGGGGAGCAC
This 870-nucleotide ribosomal RNA is filed under the name uncultured archaeon. Its description in RNAcentral is "bacterial SSU rRNA". It matches the Rfam family "Archaeal small subunit ribosomal RNA", at positions 5 to 879 of the family's 1478-position model. The record is from RNAcentral.